This 508-nucleotide ribosomal RNA is filed under the name uncultured bacterium. RNAcentral's name for it is "partial 16S ribosomal RNA". It matches the Rfam family "Bacterial small subunit ribosomal RNA", at positions 28 to 507 of the family's 1533-position model. The record is from RNAcentral.
GACGAACGCUGGCGGCGUGCCUAAUACAUGCAAGUCGAACGCUUCUUUCCUCCCGAGUGCUUGCACUCAAUUGGAAAGAGGAGUGGCGGACGGGUGAGUAACACGUGGGUAACCUACCCAUCAGAGGGGGAUAACACUUGGAAACAGGUGCUAAUACCGCAUAACAGUUUAUGCCGCAUGGCAUAAGAGUGAAAGGCGCUUUCGGGUGUCGCUGAUGGAUGGACCCGCGGUGCAUUAGCUAGUUGGUGAGGUAACGGCUCACCAAGGCCACGAUGCAUAGCCGACCUGAGAGGGUGAUCGGCCACACUGGGACUUAGACACGGCCCAGACUCCUACGGGAGGCAGCAGUAGGGAAUCUUCGGCAAUGGACGAAAGUCUGACCGAGCAACGCCGCGUGAGUGAAGAAGGUUUUCGGAUCGUAAAACUCUGUUGUUAGAGAAGAACAAGGACGUUAGUAACUGAACGUCCCCUGACGGUAUCUAACCAGAAAGCCACGGCUAACUACGUG